RNAcentral lists this ribosomal RNA (440 nucleotides) under uncultured bacterium. RNAcentral describes it as "partial 16S ribosomal RNA". It matches the Rfam family "Bacterial small subunit ribosomal RNA", at positions 338 to 795 of the family's 1533-position model. The record is from RNAcentral.
CCUACGGGAGGCAGCAGUGGGGAAUAUUGCACAAUGGGGGAAACCCUGAUGCAGCGACGCCGCGUGAGUGAAGAAGUAUCUCGGUACGUAAAGCUCUAUCAGCAGGGAAGAAAAUGACGGUACCUGACUAAGAAGCCCCGGCUAACUACGUACCAGCAGCCGCGGUAAUACGUAGGGGGCAAGCGUUAUCCGGAUGUAAUGGGUGUAAAGGGAGGGUAGACGGGAGCACAAGUCUGGAGGGAAAUCCGCGGGCUUAACCCCGGAACUGCUUUUGAAACUGUGUGCAUGGAGUGCAGGAGCGGUAUGCGGAAUGCGUGGUGUAGCGGUGAAAUGCGUAGAUAUCAGGCAGAACACCGGUGGCGAAGGCGGCUUACUGGCGCGUAACUGACGUUGAGGCACGAAAGCGUGGGGAGCAAACAGGAUUAGAUACCCUUGUAGUC